GACGAACGCUGGCGGCGUGCUUAACACAUGCAAGUCGAGCGGAAAGGCCCUUUCGGGGUACUCGAGCGGCGAACGGGUGAGUAACACGUGAGUAAUCUGCCCUUGGCUUUGGGAUAACCACCGGAAACGGUGGCUAAUACCGGAUAUGACGGGCUCCGGCAUCGGGGUUCGUGGAAAGUUUUUCGGCCAGGGAUGUGCUCGCGGCCUAUCAGCUUGUUGGUGGGGUAAUGGCCUACCAAGGCUUCGACGGGUAGCCGGCCUGAGAGGGUGACCGGCCACACUGGGACUGAGACACGGCCCAGACUCCUACGGGAGGCAGCAGUGGGGAAUAUUGGACAAUGGGCGGAAGCCUGAUCCAGCAACGCCGCGUGAGGGAUGACGGCCUGG
RNAcentral lists this ribosomal RNA (387 nucleotides) under uncultured bacterium. RNAcentral describes it as "bacterial SSU rRNA". It matches the Rfam family "Bacterial small subunit ribosomal RNA", at positions 28 to 419 of the family's 1533-position model. The record is from RNAcentral.